Gallus gallus (chicken) is the source of this 1531-nucleotide long non-coding RNA. NCBI's taxonomy places the organism in Eukaryota, Metazoa, Chordata, Aves, Galliformes, Phasianidae. The record is from Ensembl.
AGUUUGGGAAGUUUUCUGGUUGCUUCUAGGUCUGUCUCUGUCCCUCUUCUGAGAUGUUCCUGGUUUCUCAGCACCUAUGUAAAACUUGAUAGCCAUGUCCUUGAAUUCUUCCAUUAGUAAACAUCUCAGGAAAAAGCUUAUGUAUCAAGCAAGAUGCAGAAGGGGCCACGUGAUGACUUCAGAGUUGGCUGUGCUUUGCUCUGAAACCAGGCGAGCAAGAAGAAGCUUCCAGAAGGUUUGUAAGAGCAUCAGAGUAGUACUACAUGGAGUUUGUGUUAUUAAAAAUGGAAGAAAGCUGUGAGGCAGUGUUCUUGUGUGAUGCUGUGAUUCCUUCGAGAUGAAAAGGAGGUAGGAGAUCAAGUGAGACGUGAGCAGCCCUUCCUGUCCUGUGCUGCUCUUAGACUCUUCCUCCCAUGUCUUCAGUAGCGUGCAUCAGAGAAGCACAGCAGAGCACUGUAGAGCUCCUGGAUGUCACCUUGCAGAGCAGCGGUCCUUGAGUUGGUAGAAAAAGCCUCCCUGCAGGCAAGUGGUGUUGGGAAGAGGAGGAGAUGAACUUUCAGAGCUCACCUUACUUCUCAUAUGGUUGCAAAUGAAAAUCACUGCAGGGAUAUUGACCAAAAUGUUCCUUCACAGUCUGGGCAGAGCUGUGCUGAUCCUGAUGUGGUGCUGCGUGUGGAGUAAGAGCAAUGUUUAGGGACUGGGUGAGCCCAAGGGCUGUGAUCCCACUGUCCCUUUGCUGCACGGCGAUGCUCUGAGUGCCGUGAAGAUCCCAUGGGCAGUGCAGGCCCUGGGCCAGCAUCACCCCGGGGUGCUCCCACCCCAAUGGGGUCACUGGUGCAGCAGGGAAAGCUGCUGCUCGUGUCUCUUUCUCAUUAAAAGAGAGAGGGAGGGAAGCAUCAAACUGACCCCCCUGCCCCCACGAUUCCUACCCUUGUCCUGCAGCAUUACAAACAUCCUGGAGCUGAGGCUGCCUGUGCUGUCAGUGCAGGAGGAGGAUUUCUGCCAAGACACUGACCCCUGGUGGAUUCUGCAAAUGUCUUUUCAUCUAUUUUCCUCUUUGAAAGGCAAAAUCUCCCCUUUCAGACCUUUGCUUGGUCCCUUACAGUCCGGGGCCAUCGGAAGAUUUAUUAUUAAACGGGGGCUCUGGGGUGAUUUAUGAAAUUGCAGCUGAGCCACACUGUGCACUGGUUACAAAUUGCAAAGAUAUUCCAUGGGACGUGAGCUCCAAUGAGCCUGGGAUAUAUUACACUGUGGGGAAAAGGGGAGCUUAAAACCAGCUGGCUGAUGGCAACAGCUACAGGCACUUCUCUUUGAUGGGAAGAUGAUAUACAUCUGGGUUUAAUACAAAACACGAUGGGCUGACACCAGCUUUUGGGAUAUCUUAUACAAACUGGAUAAUUUUCACUUGUUGUUUUUCCAGAGCUGUUGCACCACUUUGUCCAAAGCUAGAUUCCUUUUUUCCUGUCUUUGCACGUGUUCGCUUUGUCUUGUUCAGCUUCCCAAAGAGCCGGGGAUGGUUUCCCACUGGUUU